Molecule: ribosomal RNA, 497 nt
Filed under: uncultured bacterium
Lineage: Bacteria
Description: partial 16S ribosomal RNA
Rfam family: Bacterial small subunit ribosomal RNA
Source: RNAcentral
GAUGAACGCUGGCGGCGUGCCUAAUACAUGCAAGUCGAGCGAACGGACGAGAAGCUUGCUUCUCUGAUGUUAGCGGCGGACGGGUGAGUAACACGUGGAUAACCUACCUAUAAGACUGGGAUAACUUCGGGAAACCGUAGCUAAUACCGGAUAAUAUUUUGAACCGCAUGGUUCAAAAGUGAAAGACGGUCUUGCUGUCACUUAUAGAUGGAUCCGCGCUGCAUUAGCUAGUUGGUAAGGUAACGGCUUACCAAGGCAACGAUGCAUAGCCGACCUGAGAGGGUGAUCGGCCACACUGGAACUGAGACACGGUCCAGACUCCUACGGGAGGCAGCAGUAGGGAAUCUUCCGCAAUGGGCGAAAGCCUGACGGAGCAACGCCGCGUGAGUGAUGAAGGUCUUCGGAUCGUAAAACUCUGUUAUUAGGGAAGAACAAAUGUGUAAGUAACUGUGCACGUCUUGACGGUACCUAAUCAGAAAGCCACGGCUAACUACGUG